RNAcentral lists this ribosomal RNA (429 nucleotides) under Actinomycetes bacterium. Its description in RNAcentral is "Actinobacteria bacterium partial 16S ribosomal RNA". It matches the Rfam family "Bacterial small subunit ribosomal RNA", at positions 355 to 776 of the family's 1533-position model. Lineage: Bacteria; Bacillati; Actinomycetota; Actinomycetes. The record is from RNAcentral.
UAGGGAAUCUUCCGCAAUGGGCGAAAGCCUGACGGAGCAACGCCGCGUGAGUGAUGAAGGUCUUCGGAUCGUAAAACUCUGUUAUUAGGGAAGAACAAAUGUGUAAGUAACUAUGCACGUCUUGACGGUACCUAAUCAGAAAGCCACGGCUAACUACGUGCCAGCAGCCGCGGUAAUACGUAGGUGGCAAGCGUUAUACGGAAUUAUUGGGCGUAAAGCGCGCGUAGGCGGUUUUUUAAGUCUGAUGUGAAAGCCAACGGCUCAACCGUGGAGGGUCAGUGGAAACUGGAAAACUUGAGUGCAGAAGAGGAAAGUGGAAUUCCAUGUGUAGCGGUGAAAUGCGCAGAGAUAUGGAGGAACACCAGUGGCGAAGGCGACUUUCUGGUCUGUAACUGACGCUGAUGUGCGAAAGCGUGGGGAUCAAACAGG